GAACUCUUAAAACUAUAUAUUAAACUCUAUUACAGAUUGUUUAUAUCUUGCUUAGUUUUCGAAAUAUUUCGACUGAAAAAAGUGAGCCGUAUGCCAUCUUGGAUUAUUGAGGAUAUGCAUGUUACGUCAAGAGAGGGGUCACGCUAAUUUUUUAUUAUGAGAGUAGCGAUCAAUAUGGGUCCAAAGCUUCGUUUCUGGUUGCUG
Molecule: long non-coding RNA, 204 nt
Filed under: Paramuricea clavata
Lineage: Eukaryota; Metazoa; Cnidaria; Anthozoa; Malacalcyonacea; Plexauridae
Source: RNAcentral